GCCACCUGGAACAUUGUUCCAGGUGCCCAGCUGCUCUGACUGGCAGUGGGCAAAGCAGGAGCUUAUGAACAACCCGUUGCUCCUGGAUUGGGAGAAGCCCUGCACAGAUGAUACCAUCUGGUCCCUGAAACCUACACUUUGUCGCGGAUGUUCAUCUGGGACGCAUUGCAGGCUGAACGGUUGGACUUGCAGGCUCGCCAAGAGCCGCUGGGAUCAGCUCUAUCCGGAGCCAGGCUCAGCGAAAUCUGACCCAUCGAUCGCAUUUGCAGCAUGAUGAACAUCGGAGUCUUCAAGUCGUUGAUUAUGUUUUGGGGGAAGAAGCACUGCAUCAUUUAGCUUUCCAUGUUCAGAGAACUCAUUCAGCAGCUUCAACGAAUGUGUUUGUUUGCUUGCUCUAUUUGCAGGGCCAAAAAUUUGUGAGAGAGGAGAGGAGCAGCAGCACAAACUGAUGUGGCGUCCAGACGGGCGGUGCAAGACCCCGGCAGGCUCUGAGGUAUCCCCUGCAAGGCCACGAUGUCGCCGAAGUAGGACCUCAAGCUGCGGCCUCCGGAGAUAUCCAUGCUGCAGCAAUGCGAAACCUGCUGUUAAACCUCCAUUUGAUCGCAGAAGGAAGGUUAAGCCACACGCACGCGUCGAGGUAGAGGCCGCCGUCGGAGAGGCACUUGACGGUGGUUUGCCGGCUGCCGGCGGCGGGUGGGAAGAAGGCGCGGAGCUGGUCGCAGUGCAGUAUCACCGCCAGCCCACCCGAGGAGCAGCCGGUGAGCAGCACCUGUUUGGUUGAUCGGCAUCCACACAAGUUGGAUGGAUUGAGCUGGAGGAUCGGAGGCGAUUAGUAGAUUGAGAAAGAGAGGGGUACCUGAUCUGCAGAGGCCAUCCCAAUGGAGAGGAGGUGCUUGAUGACAGCGUUCCAGAUUCGCUGGCCCCGGAAAUAAAUCCCAGCCUCCUGUAAUCAACUCAAGCAAAUCGAUUAGUGCUUAUUAAGCUGAAGCUUAACUUUAUGGCCUAUGAUAUUUUACUAGGUGAAUUUGAGAAUGGAAAUAGACUCAUGGAAUAGGAGUCAAAUAGUAGAUGAGUAGAUCGUGGCUUGGAUGGGUUGUAUGCUAGUUUUAUGAUAUCUUUGUACUAAAUGGUUGUGCGAAAUUGGAUGGUAACUUAGAUUUCCCUGAACUUUUAGAUAAACAAGGUCUUUGUUUUGAACAUAGUUUUCGAACACGGUUUUUUACUAGAAAUGGUACACAAGGGAUCAGAAAUCUUCGCAAG
Molecule: long non-coding RNA, 1260 nt
Organism: Panicum virgatum (switchgrass)
Lineage: Eukaryota; Viridiplantae; Streptophyta; Magnoliopsida; Poales; Poaceae
Exons: 4
Source: RefSeq, a predicted model, not a curated record